AAAUUGAAGAGUUUGAUCAUGGCUCAGAUUGAACGCUGGCGGCAGGCCUAACACAUGCAAGUCGAGCGGAAACGACACUAACAAUCCUUCGGGUGCGUUAAUGGGCGUCGAGCGGCGGACGGGUGAGUAAUGCCUAGGAAAUUGCCUUGAUGUGGGGGAUAACCAUUGGAAACGAUGGCUAAUACCGCAUGAUGCCUACGGGCCAAAGAGGGGGACCUUCGGGCCUCUCGC
Molecule: ribosomal RNA, 231 nt
Filed under: Vibrio cyclitrophicus
Lineage: Bacteria; Pseudomonadati; Pseudomonadota; Gammaproteobacteria; Vibrionales; Vibrionaceae
Description: partial 16S ribosomal RNA
Rfam family: Bacterial small subunit ribosomal RNA
Source: RNAcentral